AGCUAAUAGAUACCCGGGUAGUCCACGCCCUAAACGAUGUCUACUAGUUGUUGGUGGAGUAAAAUCCAUGAGUAAACGCAGCUAAACGCGUGAAGUAGACCGCCUGGGGAGUACGGUCGCAAGAUUAAAAACUCAAAGGAAUUGACGGGGGCCCGCACAAGCGGUGGAUUAUGUGGAUUAAAUUCGAUGCAACGCGAAAAACCUUACCUGGCCUUGACAUGCCACUAACGAAGCAGAGAUGCAUUAGGUGCCCGUAAGGGAAAGUGGACACAGGUGCUGCAUGGCUGUCGUCAGCUCGUGUCGUGAGAUGUUGGGUUAAGUCCCGCAACGAGCGCAACCCUUGCCAUUAAUUGCCAUCAUUUAGUUGGGCACUUUAAUGGGACUGCCGGUGACAAACCGGAGGAAGGUGGGGAUGACGUCAAGUCCUCAUGGCCCUUAUGGCCAGGGCUUCACACGUAAUACAAUGGUCGGUACAGAGAGUUGCCAACCCGCGAGGGGAGCUAAUCUCAGAAAGCCGAUCGUAGUCCGGAUUGUUCUCUGC
RNAcentral lists this ribosomal RNA (541 nucleotides) under uncultured bacterium. RNAcentral's name for it is "bacterial SSU rRNA". It matches the Rfam family "Bacterial small subunit ribosomal RNA", at positions 767 to 1308 of the family's 1533-position model. The record is from RNAcentral.